UCCAUAAGCGAUCUAUCUAUAAGGAGCUAGUAGCAAUAAUAACUGAAAAAAGAUAAUAACAGUGACAACAGUUAUUUAAUACAAAGGAAACUAAAAGCAAGAAGCGAGUUCUAGAAGAAAAACUGCAAAAAUACCAGAUUAUAGAAAAUAAUCAAGAAACCAAGUGGUGUAAAUUCAAACCGAAAAGACAGAAAACCAUACAAACAGAGACUAUGAGUGAAAGACAGAAUGGUCAGAAGAACCCGUCAAUGAAUGGAAACCAGAAGAAUACCGGAAACCCAACAUCCCAAACAUUUCCAUGCUCAAGAUGUGGCAGACGUUUUUCCAGUUUGUAUGAUGUCAAAUCUAUCCAUAAGCGAACAGCAGUUAGUGAAAGUAACAACUGAGAAGAAGACAUAACAGUGACGACAGCUUUUUAUUAUAAAAAGAACUAGAAGAGGCGAGUUCAAAAAGAAAAACAGCACAAAUAACAGAUUGUAGCAAAUAAUCAAGAAACCUAGUGGUGUAAAUUCAAACCGAAAAAACAAAGAAUCAUACAAGCAAAGACUAUGAGUGGAAAACAGAAUGAUCAGAAGAAAAACCCAUGGAAUAGAAAUAACCCGAAGUAUACCGAAACAUCCAAAGUACAUAUAUGCUCAAAAUGUGGGAGACGUUUUACCAAUUUGCAAGAGUACAAUCAUCAUAUCCGUCAAACUAAACAUUAACUACAAAUCGUACUAAAUAAGCAAUGAACAUCUCGCAUCUUCUAAAUCAACCCUGAUGACCGAUAACGGCUUAUUUAAUUUUUUCUCGUACUUUUUCCUUAUUUGGUUUGUAAAGUCCAAUAUUAAUUUUAUAACAUAACGACAACGCAUUCAGUUGGACGAUAGCUUAAAACU
Long non-coding RNA from Nylanderia fulva, 878 nucleotides. RefSeq lists it as uncharacterized. The record is from RefSeq and is a predicted model, not a curated record. Lineage: Eukaryota; Metazoa; Arthropoda; Insecta; Hymenoptera; Formicidae.